UGCUUCCGGUAGUUCGGGGCGGGUUUGGGAACCGGGUUGGCUGAUGCCAGACUUCCCAGUGCAGAACCUUACGGCUUGGAGCGCCGCGGGGAGAGCCGGUUCUUCCGCUAUAGGACACCAGGCCUUUCUCGAGACCUCUGACCUUUCCCAGGGCGAGACGGCCGCGAUUUCCACGCAUGCUCAGUACUUCCGAGUGGGCCUUGGCGCUCAGUGAACAGUCCGUGCUUCCGUAUUGUUGUGAACAUCAGGGCAGCAGUUCUGUUCACCUGGAUUUAUAAACACCAAAACGUAGCAACAGCCAGUGUGCAAGUCACUGACAACCCAAGUCACCAAAAAUCUUACUGAGAACCCACAUGUCAUUAGCUCCUUGAAUUAAAGAUUAUUUUGUGAAAAGAGGCUUGAUCGUCUUGUUCUGCACCUGAAAUAAAGCAUUUCCCAUUC
RNAcentral lists this long non-coding RNA (441 nucleotides) under Mus pahari (shrew mouse). Its description in RNAcentral is "lncRNA (MGP_PahariEiJ_G0003930.1)". The record is from RNAcentral. Lineage: Eukaryota; Metazoa; Chordata; Mammalia; Rodentia; Muridae.